UACGUAGGCAGCGAGCGUUGUUCGGAGUUACUGGGCGUAAAGGGUGUGUAGGCGGUUGUUUAAGUUCGGUGUGAAAUCUCCUGGCUUAACUGGGAGGGUGCGCCGGAAACUGGAGUGCUCGAACGUGGGAGAGGAAAGUGGAAUUCCCGGUGUAGUGGUGAUAUGCGUAGAUAUCGGGAGGAACACCUGUGGCGAAGGCGGCUUUCUGGGCCCUACCUGACGCUGAGACGCGAAAGCGUGGGGAGCGAACCGG
Molecule: ribosomal RNA, 253 nt
Filed under: uncultured bacterium
Lineage: Bacteria
Description: partial 16S ribosomal RNA
Rfam family: Bacterial small subunit ribosomal RNA
Source: RNAcentral